RNAcentral lists this ribosomal RNA (465 nucleotides) under uncultured Glomus. RNAcentral's name for it is "SSU rRNA". It matches the Rfam family "Eukaryotic small subunit ribosomal RNA", at positions 623 to 1089 of the family's 1831-position model. The record is from RNAcentral. Lineage: Eukaryota; Fungi; Glomeromycota; Glomeromycetes; Glomerales; Glomeraceae.
AAAGCUCGUAGUUGAAUUUCGGGGUUAGUAGGUUGGUCAUGCCUCUGGUAUGUACUGGUCUCACUGAUUCCUCCUUCCUGAUGAACCGUAAUGCCAUUAAUUUGGUGUUGCGGGGAAUUUGGACUGUUACUUUGAAAAAAUUAGAGUGUUUAAAGCAAGCUAACGCUUGAAUACAUUAGCAUGGAAUAAUGAAAUAGGACGUUCGAUCCUAUUUUGUUGGUUUCUAGGAUUGACGUAAUGAUUAAUAGGGAUAGUUGGGGGCAUUAGUAUUCAAUUGUCAGAGGUGAAAUUCUUGGAUUUAUUGAAGACUAACUACUGCGAAAGCAUUUGCCAAGGAUGUUUUCAUUAAUCAAGAACGAAAGUUAGGGGAUCGAAGACGAUCAGAUACCGUCGUAGUCUUAACCAUAAACUAUGCCGACUAGGGAUCGGAUGAUGUUAAUUUUUUAAUGACUCAUUCGGCACCUU